RNAcentral lists this ribosomal RNA (253 nucleotides) under uncultured bacterium. Its description in RNAcentral is "partial 16S ribosomal RNA". It matches the Rfam family "Bacterial small subunit ribosomal RNA", at positions 524 to 776 of the family's 1533-position model. The record is from RNAcentral.
GACAGAGGCCCCAAGCGUUAGGCGGAAUCACUGGGCUUAAAGCAUGUGUAGGCGGAUCGUUAAGUGUCUUGUGAAAUCCCACGGCUCACCCGUGGAACUGCUGGGCAUACUGGCGAUCUUGGGCCAACUAGGGGCAGCCGGAACAAGCGGUGGAGCGGUGAAAUGCGUAGAUAUCGCUUGGAACGCCGAAGGUGAAAACAGGCUGCUGGGGUUGCGCCGACGCUGAGACACGAAAGCCAGGGGAGCAAACGGG